GGCAGGUGUGGCCUCAGGUACCUGACCCGCCUCCCCAUGUCUGCAGCGCUCCUUCACCCUCAUCGUGGAGGCCUGGGACUGGGACAACGAUACCACCCCGAAUGAGGAGCUGCUGAUCGAGCGAGUGUCGCAUGCCGGCAUGAUCAACCCGGAGGACCGCUGGAAGAGUCUGCACUUCAGCGGCCACGUGGCGCACCUGGAGCUGCAGAUCCGCGUGCGCUGCGACGAGAACUACUACAGCGCCACCUGCAACAAGUUCUGCCGGCCCCGCAACGACUUUUUCGGCCACUACACCUGCGACCAGUAUGGCAACAAGGCCUGCAUGGACGGCUGGAUGGGCAAGGAGUGCAAGGAAGCUGUGUGUAAACAAGGGUGUAAUUUGCUCCACGGGGGAUGCACCGUGCCUGGGGAGUGCAGGUGCAGCUACGGCUGGCAAGGGAGGUUCUGCGAUGAGUGUGUCCCCUACCCCGGCUGCGUGCAUGGCAGUUGUGUGGAGCCCUGGCAGUGCAACUGUGAGACCAACUGGGGCGGCCUGCUCUGUGACAAAGAUCUGAACUACUGUGGCAGCCACCACCCCUGCACCAACGGAGGCACGUGCAUCAACGCCGAGCCCGACCAGUACCGCUGCACCUGCCCUGACGGCUACUCGGGCAGGAACUGUGAGAAGGCUGAGCACGCCUGCACCUCCAACCCAUGUGCCAACGGGGGCUCUUGCCAUGAGGUGCCGUCCGGCUUCGAAUGCCACUGCCCAUCGGGCUGGAGCGGGCC
Molecule: small RNA, 768 nt
Filed under: Pan troglodytes (chimpanzee)
Lineage: Eukaryota; Metazoa; Chordata; Mammalia; Primates; Hominidae
Description: retained intron
Source: RNAcentral